UGGAGUUUCUGCUCUGUUCUGUUAUCCUUUCUGUCAAAUUUCCAGAUUUUAAAACAUCUUGACAAGCAGUAUCAUCAGGAUCAGGUUCUUCACCAUGCUUCCCAUCGAUGACCAAAUCCUGUUUGACAAUAGCAUUUGAGGAAUCAGCAGGGUCAGGUUCAUACUUCAAGACUGUGACGCUGUUUGUCAGUUCACUAUCCACUUCCAUCUUGUUUCCAGAUUCCGGAACAACUUCAUUAGUACUAUCAUCAGGAUCAGGUUUGCUAUGGGGUCUUCCAUC
Molecule: long non-coding RNA, 280 nt
Filed under: Sorghum bicolor (sorghum)
Lineage: Eukaryota; Viridiplantae; Streptophyta; Magnoliopsida; Poales; Poaceae
Description: long non-coding RNA (SBIC_LNC013404)
Source: RNAcentral